Molecule: ribosomal RNA, 497 nt
Filed under: uncultured bacterium
Lineage: Bacteria
Description: partial 16S ribosomal RNA
Rfam family: Bacterial small subunit ribosomal RNA
Source: RNAcentral
GACGAACGCUGGCGGCGUGCCUAAUACAUGCAAGUUGAGCGCUGAAGGUUGGUACUUGUACCAACUGGAUGAGCAGCGAACGGGUGAGUAACGCGUGGGGAAUCUGCCUUUGAGCGGGGGACAACAUUUGGAAACGAAUGCUAAUACCGCAUAAAAACUUUAAACACAAGUUUUAAGUUUGAAAGAUGCAAUUGCAUCACUCAAAGAUGAUCCCGCGUUGUAUUAGCUAGUUGGUGAGGUAAAGGCUCACCAAGGCGAUGAUACAUAGCCGACCUGAGAGGGUGAUCGGCAACAUUGGGACUGAGACACGGCCCAAACUCCUACGGGAGGCAGCAGUAGGGAAUCUUCGGCAAUGGACGAAAGUCUGACUGAGCAACGCCGCGUGAGUGAAGAAGGUUUUCGGAUCGUAAAACUCUGUUGGUAGUGAAGAACGUUGGUGAGAGUGGAAAGCUCAUCAAGUGACGGUAACUACCCAGAAAGGGACGGCUAACUACGUG